UCAGCAGCCGCGGUAAUACGUAGGGGGCAAGCGUUGUCCGGAAUUACUGGGCGUAAAGGGCGCGUAGGCGGCCAUUUAAGUGGGGGGUGAAAAGCUACGGCUUAACCGUAGUUCUGCCUUCCAAACUGGAUGGCUGGAGUGCAGGAGAGGGAAGCGGAAUUCCCGGUGGAGCGGUGAAAUGCGUAGAUAUCGGGAGGAACACCAGUGGCGAAGGCGGCUUCCUGGACUGUAACUGACGCUGAGGCGCGAAAGCUGGGGGAGCAAACAGGAUUAGAUACCCUGGUAGUCCCAGCUGUAAACGAUGAAUGCUAGGUGUUGGAGGUAUCGACCCCUCCGGUGCCGGAGUUAACGCAAUAAGCAUUCCGCCUGGGGAGUACGGCCGCAAGGUUGAAACUUAAAGGAAUUGGCGGGGGAU
This 415-nucleotide ribosomal RNA is filed under the name uncultured bacterium. Its description in RNAcentral is "bacterial SSU rRNA". It matches the Rfam family "Bacterial small subunit ribosomal RNA", at positions 508 to 921 of the family's 1533-position model. The record is from RNAcentral.